UCAGAAUUUAGUCAACUUAGCAAUUGGCAAUGUAAAUAAUAGUAACUCGGGUGAAGAACUUGAUUACAAAAACCACGAAAAUAAACAAACCAAACUUUCUUCUCCGUUAUCAUUUGAAGUUGAUGAGAUAUUUAAGAAUUAUAGCAAUCUCAAUUUGUUGCAAGACAUAUUUGAUGACGACGAAGAGUUAAAUCAAAGCCAAGAGCUAAUUCAAAAAACAAUCGAGCCCGAUCUUCAAGAUAUAUGUAGCGAACAUACUCCUAUGCCGUCACCAAAUGGCAGUAUCAAUCUUUUUGGUGAUGAAGAUCCAAUCCCAUCAGUUGUAUCUUUGCUAACGGAUGGCAAUGUGUCCUCUCCGAUUUCACAAUACUCAUCCGGAGAGGUU
Molecule: unclassified non-coding RNA, 385 nt
Filed under: Melitaea cinxia (Glanville fritillary)
Lineage: Eukaryota; Metazoa; Arthropoda; Insecta; Lepidoptera; Nymphalidae
Description: misc RNA ENSMCXG00005022475.1
Source: RNAcentral